This 497-nucleotide ribosomal RNA is filed under the name uncultured bacterium. RNAcentral's name for it is "partial 16S ribosomal RNA". It matches the Rfam family "Bacterial small subunit ribosomal RNA", at positions 28 to 507 of the family's 1533-position model. The record is from RNAcentral.
GAUGAACGCUGGCGGCGUGCCUAAUACAUGCAAGUCGAGCGAACAGACGAGGAGCUUGCUCCUCUGACGUUAGCGGCGGACGGGUGAGUAACACGUGGAUAACCUACCUAUAAGACUGGGAUAACUUCGGGAAACCGGAGCUAAUACCGGAUAAUAUAUUGAACCGCAUGGUUCAAUAGUGAAAGACGGUUUUGCUGUCACUUAUAGAUGGAUCCGCGCCGCAUUAGCUAGUUGGUAGGGUAACGGCUUACCAAGCCAACGAUGCGUACCCGACCUGAGAGGGUGAUCGGCCACACUGGAACUGAGACACGGUCCAGACUCCUACGGGAGGCAGCAGUAGGGAAUCUUCCGCAAUGGGCGAAAGCCUGACGGAGCAACGCCGCGUGAGUGAUGAAGGUCUUCGGAUCGUAAAACUCUGUUAUUAGGGAAGAACAAAUGUGUAAGUAACUAUGCACGUCUUGACGGUACCUAAUCAGAAAGCCACGGCUAACUACGUG